RNAcentral lists this ribosomal RNA (440 nucleotides) under uncultured bacterium. RNAcentral's name for it is "partial 16S ribosomal RNA". It matches the Rfam family "Bacterial small subunit ribosomal RNA", at positions 338 to 795 of the family's 1533-position model. The record is from RNAcentral.
CCUACGGGAGGCAGCAGUAGGGAAUAUUGCUCAAUGGGGGAAACCCUGAAGCAGCAACGCCGCGUGGAGGAUGAAGGUUUUCGGAUUGUAAACUCCUUUUGUUAGAGAAGAUAAUGACGGUAUCUAACGAAUAAGCACCGGCUAACUCCGUGACAGCAGCCGCGGUAAUACGGAGGGUGCAAGCGUUACUCGGAAUCACUGGGCGUACAGAGCGCGUAGGCGGGAUAGCAAGUCAGAUGUGAAAUCCUAUGGCUUAACCAUAGAACUGCAUUUGAAACUGUGAUUCUAGAGUAUGGGAGAGGUAGGUGGGAUUCUAGGUGUAGGGGUAAAUUCCGUAGAGAUAAAGAGGAAUACUCAGUGCGAAGGCGACCUGCUAGAACAUAACUGACGCUGAUGCGCGAAAGCGUGGGGAGCAAACAGGAUUAGAUACCCCUGUAGUC